ACACAUGCAAGUCGAGGGGCAGCAUUUCAGUUUGCUUGCAAACUGGAGAUGGCGACCGGCGCACGGGUGAGUAACACGUAUCCAACCUGCCGAUAACUCGGGGAUAGCCUUUCGAAAGAAAGAUUAAUACCCGAUGGUAUAAUCAGACCGCAUGGUCUUGUUAUUAAAGAAUUUCGGUUAUCGAUGGGGUGCGUUCCAUUAGGCAGUUGGUGAGGUAACGGCUCACCAAACCUUCGAUGGAUAGGGGUUCUGAGAGGAAGGUCCCCCACAUUGGAACUGAGACACGGUCCAAACUCCUACGGGAGGCAGCAGUGAGGAAUAUUGGUCAAUGGGCGCAGGCCUGAACCAGCCAAGUAGCGUGAAGGAUGACUGCCCUAUGGGUUGUAAACUUCUUUUAUAUGGGAAUAAAGUUUUCCACGUGUGGAAUUUUGUAUGUACCAUAUGAAUAAGGAUCGGCUAACUCCGUGCCAGCAGCCGCGGUAAUACGGAGGAUCCGAGCGUUAUCCGGAUUUAUUGGGUUUAAAGGGAGCGUAGGUGGACAGUUAAGUCAGUUGUGAAAGUUUGCGGCUCAACCGUAAAAUUGCAGUUGAUACUGGCUGUCUUGAGUACAGUAGAGGUGGGCGGAAUUCGUGGUGUAGCGGUGAAAUGCUUAGAUAUCACGAAGAACUCCGAUUGCGAAGGCAGCUCACUGGACUGCAACUGACACUGAUGCUCGAAAGUGUGGGUAUCAAACAGGAUUAGAUACCCUGGUAGUCCACACAGUAAACGAUGAAUACUCGCUGUUUGCGAUAUACAGUAAGCGGCCAAGCGAAAGCAUU
RNAcentral lists this ribosomal RNA (818 nucleotides) under uncultured bacterium. RNAcentral describes it as "bacterial SSU rRNA". It matches the Rfam family "Bacterial small subunit ribosomal RNA", at positions 51 to 861 of the family's 1533-position model. The record is from RNAcentral.